UAGCUUUGUCCUAAGUCAAACUUCUCAAAGUUUGACCAAGUUUAGAGAGAAAUGUACUAAUAUCUACAAUAUCAACUAAGUAUACUAUGAAGAUAAAUAUCAUGACGGAUUUAAUAAAACCAAUUUAGGGUUGUAGAUGUUGGUAGAAUUUUCUAUAAACUUUGUCAAACUUUAGGAAGUUUGACUAGGACAAAGCUAG
This 199-nucleotide microRNA precursor is filed under the name Brachypodium distachyon (stiff brome). RNAcentral's name for it is "MIR1435 microRNA precursor family". It matches the Rfam family "MIR1435 microRNA precursor family". The record is from Rfam by way of RNAcentral. Lineage: Eukaryota; Viridiplantae; Streptophyta; Magnoliopsida; Poales; Poaceae.